GCGCUGGCACGCGCAACUUCCGGGACAGAGGCUGUGGCUGGAAGGAGCUGGGCAUCCGGCCUGAGGCGCAGCGGUCGCCUUAGUUCGGCCCAAUGGCGGCACCGCUGCUUCACACGCGUUUGCCGGGAGAUGCGGCCGCUUCGUCCUCUGCAGUCAAGACGCUGGGCGCGUCGAGGACUCGGAUUUCAAAUAUGCGUGCAUUAGAGAAUGAUUUUUUCAAUUCUCCCCCAAGAAAAACUGUUCGGUUUGGUGGAACUGUGACAGAAGUCUUGCUGAAGUACAAAAAAGGCGAAACAAAUGACUUUGAGUUGUUGAAGAACCAGCUGUUAGAUCCAGACAUAAAGAACCUGAAGAUUGGAUCUUCUGAGAACAUCAGACAUAGAAUGUCCUUGCCAUCCACACUACAGCAAAACUUCAGGACCUUGAACUUUGGCUUCAUAAUCUCACAAGAGGGAAGUUUUUCACCGGAAGAAGAUGGCAUCCUUGAUGUGAACAGCUUUUCCCAAGAUCACAGAUCAAGACUUCUGGUUUUUAUGAUUUUUUUUUUUUUUUUUUGAGACAGAGACUUUUUUUUUUUUUUUUUUUUUUUUUUUUGACAUGGAGUCUCGGUCUUCUCGCUCCAGCUGGAGUGGAAUAGCGCGAUCUUGGAUCACUGCAACCUUCACCUCCCAGAUUCAAGCGAUUCUUGUACCUCAGCCUCCUGAGCCGCUGAGACUACAGGCACAUGCCACCAUGCCUGGUUAAUUUUUUUUUUGUGCGUGUGUGUGUGUGUGUGUGUGUCUGUGUCUGUGUGUGUGUGUGUGUGUGACAGAGUUUUACUCUUGUUGCCCAGGCUGGAGUGCAGUGGUGCGAUCUUGGCUCACUGCAAUUUCUGCCUCCUAGGUUCAAGCGAUUCUCCUGCCUCAGCCUCCUGAGUAGUUGGGAUUAUAAGCGCCCAAUACCAUACCCCGGGAAUUUUUUGUAUUUUUAGUAGAGACAGGGUUUCAUCAUGUUGGCCAGGCUGGUCUCGAACUCCUGACCUCAGGUGAUCCACCCGCCUCGGUAUCCCAAAGUGCUGGGAUUACAGGCGUGAGCCCUGUGCCCAGCCUCCAUCCCUCUCUUUCUCUCUCUCUCUCUCUCGACUGAGAGAGAGAGACUGACUGGGGACAAUCAACUCUCUCUAGACUGACAGAGAGAGAGAGGGAGGGAGGGAAGGAGAGAAAGAGACGGAGUCUGGCUCUCACCCAGGCUGGAGUGCAGUGGAGUGAUCUUGGUUCACUGCAACCUCCAUCUUCCGUGUUCAAGCGAUUCCUGUGCCUCAGCCUCCCAAGUAGCUGGGAUUGUAGGUCUGCACCACCACGCCCGGCUAAUUUUUGUGUUUUUAGUAGAGACGGCUUUGCCAUGUUGGCCAGGCUGGUUUUGAACUCCUGACCUCAGGUGAUCCUCCAGCCUCGGCCUUCCAAAGUGCUGGGAUUACAGACGUGAGCCACCUCGUUUCUGGCCAAAUGAAAUAAAAUGUUAAAGUAAAUUCAGGACUACCCCUCCUCCAAGUCUUCUGUCCCCUUUGGGUGCCCAGGUGAGAGGGGGAGGGGCUGGGGGAAUAAUAACAUCAAAAGAGGGCCUUUUCCUCCCUUAUUCCGAGGAGACUUCCCUGGGCCUGACUCCCAGUCCUGUCCCCAGUGCCCCGCAGCCUCUCGAGCCCCUUCAGUGACCAAGAUGCAGAGAUCAGGACGCCAUUGCGCCGCCCCAGGUGCCUGCCCCUAGCUGGCUCCGCCUGGGCCCCAAGGGAAGGUGAGGUCGGGGGCUGGGCUGGGGCAUGGCAGCUGGGGUGUUUGUCCGCCGGGCUUGCUGCCUCCAUCCCAGAGGGUGCCAGCAUCGUCCCACCUCUGUCACCCUCCGAUGGGGCCGCUACCUGUGUGCCUGCCAAUCAUGCUGCUCCUGUGGCUGCCGUCGCUGCUGCUGCUGCUUGGACCUGGCCCCGGGUCCGGCGAGGGUGAGUGAGGAAGGGGCUUUCACGGAACUCAGGCAUUCUGGGAUUCCUCCAGCCUUUCCUAGGGAGCCAGCAGCCCUGCCUCCCAUCCCUCUUCAAGUUCCUAGUUGCCCUAGAGCCCCCAGCUCGCUCUUCUAAUGCUCACCCACACUCUGGGUCCCAGCCCUCUGCAGGGCCCCCCACUCACUCCUCCCGGGGACCCAGAACUAGCCUAGCCCUUCCCCAGGGCCACAGAGUCCUGUCCUGGCUCCCUCCCCUAACCGGCUGUGACCCUCUCCAGCAGCCCGGAAGCUUCCCGGUUGUCCUGAUCUGGGAUCCGCAAACUUAUCCUUCAUUCCACCUGUCCCUGAGAUGUGAGACACAAGAGGGUGGGAGGAGCAGGGGCAGAAAGGGCCCGGCUUGGGUGUGGGAGAAGAAUAUAUUGUGCCCCUGUACAGCAAACCCCUGUGACCAAAAAAAAAAAAAAAACAUACUGUCCCUAUCCCACUAUCCAUCCUUUGGGGUCACUGUAGAGAGGUCUCCUGGGUGACUGCCCAUUUCUGGGGUGCACAGAUACAUGUAGCCACAGAGUACUAUGCAGACACCGCCAGCACACAGAUGUGCAGGCACAGGACCAGCCCCAGACUCACCUGGCCCUCAGGUGUGCAGCUCACGGUGUGCUGCUCCCACAGGCAAAAAUACUGAGAUACCACUAGGGGGACACACACACACACACACACUGAGAGAGAGAGAGAGAAAGGCACAGACACACAUAUGUGCACAUAGACCCUGGGGCUCACAGGAUGCACAGACAACCCUGGCCCUCCCCGAGGAGGCUGCAGCGGGCAGACAGGGCAAACAGACCCCAGCGUGACCUGCCCCACCUAUGUUGGCACAGAGGGAGUAUUUUGCUUGGUUAUAAGCACAGUGCUCAUGCCUGCCCCAUGCCUAGAACCCUCCCUCUAUAGGGCUGUUGCUAGGGCUCUGAGAUACCAGAGAGUGGUCAGGGAGUGUGGCAGGGGAAACUUUGGGGACAGCUUCAGGGUACUGUGUUGGGACUGGGACAUUGUCAGAGUGCUCAGAGAGGGCAUGUUCCCUGGGUCUUGGUGGAUUUAGAGGUCAAGGGACCAUUUCUGGAAGCUCACUGUGUGCCAGGGCAGCUUAUAUCAGAGCUCCGCUCUUUUUCUUUUUCUUUUUUUUAAGACAGAGUCUCACUGUUGCCCAGGCUGGAGUGCAGUGGCACCAUUUCGGCUCACUGCAACCUCCACCUCCCGGGUCCAAGAGAUUCUCCUGCCUCAGCCUCCUGAGUAGCUGGGACUACAGGCAUGCACCACCACCACACCUGGCUAAUUUUUGUAUUUUUAGUAGAGACGGGGUUUCACCAUGUUAGCAAGGCUGGUCUCGAACUCCUGACCUCAGGUGAUCCACCUGCCUUGGCCUCUGAAAGUGCUGAGAUUACAGGCAUGAGCCACUGUGCUUGGCCAGAUAUCUGCUCUGGAAGACCCCCCAGGCUGGAGGGCACUGCCACAAGCAGACACUAUGGCGAGGGUCCCUAUGGCCACCUGGCAGGCAAGGUGGAUUCUGGAGGGAGGUGACCUGGGAGCAGGCUGAGGAUGGGGUGAGGGCAUUUGAGCAGCAGAGUGUCUGCGUGACUGGGCAUAACUGGAGGGACAGUAAAUGACUCUUGUGUGAGAGGAUGAGGGAGGGGUGAGAGGGGCUGACUACCCCCAGGACUUGAGGUGCAGUGAGACUCCUUAGCUUUAUCCAGACUCGUGGGAGCCAUGGAGGUUUGAGGCAGAGGCGUGGGCUGCUGGGAGAGUGAGGACUCACCAUCCAGAGAGGAAGGUGAAACUUUCAACUCUAAAUGCCGUUUUAUUUUCGUGGUUUUUUUUUUUUUGAGACGGAGUUUCACUCUUAUUGCCCAGGCUGGAGUGUGAUAGCACGAGCUCGGCUCACUGCAACCUCUGCCUCCCGGGUUCAAGUGAUUCUCCUGCCUCACCCUCCCAAGUAGCUGGGAUCACAGGCAUGCGCCACCAUGCGUGGCUAAUUUUAUAUUUUUAGUAGAAACAGGGUUUCUCCGUGUUGGUCAGGCUGGUCUGGAACUCCUGACUUCAGGUGAUCCACCCGCCUUGGCCUCCCAAAGUGCUGGGAUUACAGGCAUGAGCCACUGUGCCUGGCCCCAAAUGUGUUUUACAUUUUCUUCCUAUUUGAUUCAUCUUUGUCGUGCAACAUAAAUAUGCUACUUUUCCACUGAUAAAAAGACAAAAUGGAAUUUAAAAUUGGCCUGGACUUCUCAAAAAAGUCAGUGUGAUGAAAACAUGUUCUAGAUAAUAUAGAAAUGAGACUGGGCAUGGUGGCUCAUGCCUGGAAUCCCAGCGCCUUGGGAGGCCAAGGAAGGAGAAUCACUUGAGGCCAGGAGUUUGUGACCAGCCUGGGCAACAUAGUGAGACCGCAGAUCUACUAAAACUUUAAAAAUUAGCUGGCCAUGGUGGUGCAUGCCCGUAUGUCUGGAGGUUGAAGCAGGAGGAUCGCUUGAGCCCAGGAUCUGGAGGCUGAGGCUGGAGGAUCGCUUGAGCCCAGGAUUUGGAGGCUGCAGUGAGCUAUGAUUGUGCCACUGCACUCCAGUGUGGGUGACAGAGUGAGACCCUGUCUCUAUUAAAAAAAAGAGAGACAAGAUGAUCAGGAUGAGCGCAGUGGCUCACGCCUAUAAUCCCAGCACUUUGGGAGGCCAAAGCAGGUGGAUCACAUGAGGUCAGGAGUUUGAGACCGGCCCAGCCUAGAUGGUGAAGCCCGGUUUCUACUAGAAAUACAAAAAUCAGCUGGGUGUGGUGGGGCACGCCUGUGAUCCCAGCUACUCAGGAGACUGAGGCUGGACAGUUGCUUGAACCUGGGAGGCAGAAGUUGCUGUGAGCAAGAUUACACCACUGUGCUCCAGCCUGGGCAACAGGAAUAAGACUCUGUCUCAAAAAAAAAAAAAAAAAAAGGGAUGAUCAAACACAAUGCAUCAACCUCCCGGAGCCGUAUAAACCCUAAACCUAACCCAGGAAGCAGGCAAGCCUGUGUCCUCCAGGAUAUUAUGUGUGCACCGACGUGGGAUCCUGGAACUGGCAGGAAUUGUGGGUUGUGUUGGUCCCUGAACUCCCAUCGCCUAUAUGAAAUAUGGUUGCUUUUGUGGCUUGGGAGGCCAUGGCCAGCCCUGCGAUGCCAUUGACUGGUGAGUGCAUGCCUGGGACCAGGCUACAAAAUCCCUCACACUCUGGGGUAGUCAAGCCUUAUGAGGAAGUACCCAAAACUGAAGCUGGGGUUUGGUCCAGGGAGAUCCCAGUGUGCAGUACUACUUUGCAGGCAGGCAGAGGCCUCUUGGAUAACAUGGCCAGUGAAGCCAGAUCUUGGUACCAGCUGCGCCUUACCCUGGCCAUGGGCUGAAAACGUUGCCUUAAAAAAUUGGCCAGGAGCGGUGGCUCACUCCUGUAAUCCCAGCACUUUGGGAGGCCGAGGCGGGCAGAUCACUUGAGGUCAGGAGUUCAAGACCAGCCUGGCCAAUAUGGUGAAACCCCAUCUCUACUAAAAAUGCAAAAAUUAGCUGUGUGUGGUGGCAGGUGUCUGUAAUCCCAGCUACUCGGGAGACUGAGGCAGGAGAAUUGCUUGAACCCGGGAGGCGGAGUUUGCAGUGAGUUGAGAUUGCACCGCUGUAUUCCAACCUGGACAACAGUGCCAAACCCUGUCUCAAAAGAAAAAAAUAAUAAUAAUAUAAAGUGACCAGGUGUGUUGACUCAUGCCUGUAAUCCCACCACUUUGGGUCGAGGCAGGAGGAUCACUGGAGCCCAGGAGUGUGAAACGAGCCUAGGCAACAGAGUGAGACCCUGUCUCUGUAUUAAACACACACACGUGCGCGCGCACACACACACACACACAUACACACACAAACAAAGGCAGCCAGACUAAGCACUAGGAACUGCCCUGGGAAUCUCUUUGUGAUCUCACAACAAUCCCAUUUCACAUGAAGAAACCUAGGCACAGAAAUAUUCAGUAACAUGUCCAGGUGCGGUGGCUCACGCCUGUAAUCCCAGUACUUUGGGAGGCUGAGGCAGGCAGAUCAUGACGUCAGGAGUUCGAGACCAUCCUGGCCAACAUGGUGAAACACCGUCUCUACUAAAAAUACAAAAAUUAGCUGUGUGUGGUGGCAGGUGCCUGUAAUUCUAGCUACUCAGGAAGCUGAGGCAGGAGAAUUGCUUGAACCCGGGAGGCAGAGGUUGCAAUUAGUCGAGAUCACACCACUGCACUCCAACCUGGGUGACAGAGCAAAACUCCAUCUGAAAAAAAAAAAAAAAAAAAGAAAUAUUAAGUAACUUGUCUGAGGCCACAUAGUUACCAAGACGUGGGAGCUGGGACUUGAACCCAGGCAGUCUGGCUGGAUUCAUGCCUGCGGCCUCUGCACUCCUGCUACUUACUGUGUGAGGAGCGUCUGUUCUGUGGAAGGUUGUGGGCUGAGAUCUUUCCAUGACUUCCACUCAUUUACCCCCAAGGCUGUUCUUAAAGAUGGGCAUGACAGUUAUGCCCAUUUUACAGAUGGGGCACUGAGGCUCACAAGGGCACGCCACUCACCCAUUUCCACAAAGCUAUAGUUAGUUAGCAGAGGGCAGAAUUCGGCUGCCUCUCCCCUAGCUUGAAGGCUGUGAUUGACACAGAGGUUUUUUUGUUGUCGUUGCUGUUGUUUGUUCCUUUUUCUUUUUCUUGAGACAGGGUCUUGCUCUGUCAUCCCAGCUGGAGUGCAGUGGUGUGAUGUCAGCUCACUGCAAACUCUGCCUCCAAGAUGCAAAUGAUUCUCGUGCCUCAGCCUCCCAAGUAGCUGGAAUUACAGGUGUGCACUACCACGCCCAGCUGUUUUUUGUAGAGAUGGGGUUAGUAGAGAUUUGUUUAAUAGAGACGGGGUUUCACCGUGGUCUCUACUAAACCCUGUCUCUACUAAAAAUACAAAAAUUACCCAGGCGUGGUGGCACAUGCCUGUAGUCCCAGCUACUCAAGAGGCUGAGGCAGGAGAAUCACUUGAACCUGGGAGGUGGAGGUUGCAGUGACCCAAAAUCAUGCACUCUAGCCUGGGGUCUCGCUUUUGCCCAGGUUAGAGUGCAGUGGCACAAUCACAGUGGCUCACUGCAGCCUCAAACUCCUGGGCUGAAGGGAAUCCUCCCACCUCAGCCUCCCAAGUAGCUAGGACUACAGGCAUGUGCCAUCAUGGCGAGUUAAUUUUGUGUGUGUUUUUAUUGUCUCGAGACAGAGUCUUGCUCUGUUGCUCAGGCUGGACUGCAAUGGCGUGAUCUUGGCUCACCGCAACCUCCACCUCCUGGGUUCAAGCAAUUCUCCUACCUCAGCCUCCCGAGUAGCUGGGAUUACAGGUGCUGCCAUGGCCAUGACUGUUGUUACACUCGAGCUGAGGAGGCCGGCUGCAGCCCCAAGACAGAGCGCUACUCCUGGCAGUGCGUCAAUCAGAGCAUCCUGUGCGAACUCUGCAAGGUCAGUGCGACCACCCUGCUCCAAAUCCAAGAAAACAGAGGUUUCCAGAGGAAGGAGAAAUUGUGCCCAGGGUCACACAGCUUGCAAGAGGCAGAGUGGAAGUUGAUUCCAGCUCUGCCUGCAGGACCCUCUCAUUUCCCCUCUGUUUCCCUUCUUGACAAAGAAUCUUCUUCACUCUGGAGGUGCCACCCAUGAGAACAAAGAGCUCUGGAGAGAUGUGGAUUCCUGAAGAGCUGCAGGGGGACUGGGAGAGGGUUUUCUGACAGAACAAUCUUACCUCAAGAAGUCAGUUAGGGAUGGCUGUAAUAUUUCUUUUCACUCCCAGGUAAUACCAAAUUGUAAGUGCACUAGGACAUAAAGGAUACUUUUGUCCAUGGAAAAAUGAGGUGGGAAUUCUAAACAAAGCAAGUUUUAAAACUGUGUUUCACUUCAAGUGUACAAGUCCCAUCACGUGUAAUCAUAGGACUCGGCAGCUUUUGAAGGUACAGAGGCCACACAAGAACCAGCUUAGCUGAGCAUCAUUUAAGGCCUUCAUUUGGAAUUGUCCCUGUGGGUAAUAAGUUACAUUCACUCUUCACUAAUUUACAGUCAGGGCCCAUUUGCUAUUACAAAUACGGAACCUCUGACACUUAGAAUAUUAGAUCGGGGCCCCACUGGGUGGGGAUGAAGGUGUUUUUGCACAACACGGUUACCAACAGGGAUGGGACUGUGAUGCUUGUAGGCAGCCUUUCUCUCUGCCAUCUCCCUCUGCAGGGCUUGAGCACAGAGCCGUAGGGAGAAAAAUGUAUCCAUGUCCUGACCUGGCAGACUAUGUCCAAAAGCAAGGAAAACAAGCAAACUUACCCAGUUGCAAAGAGGCUUUCUUGCAGAAGGGGGGAUCUGAAAAAGCCAACACAUGAGAAAUUGAAUGAUGAGAGAGUCUAAGGGCCAUGGCAUCAUCUGCAUCAGCACUGAACUAUCCUGCAGCUGCGGGGAGGAAGCUCCUUACUUUGCAUUUGUAGUAGUCCUCUGCCCGCCGCCGCAACACUUGCGCACGUUGAAACAUUUCCCUAUGGAUUACAAUCACUUUCAUCAGAUAAAGCACCACUUUCAGGAUGAUUUUAAAUAAUCUGCCAUGUUUCUGUUAUCCUCACAACUGUACCCUUACACAAUCUAUCUCUACCUAGAAAACGUAUUUCAGAUGGCUGUAAGAGUACAGUCUGGGCCGGUCACGGUGGCUGACGCCUGUAAUCCCAGCACUCUGGGAGGGCGAGGCGGAUGGAUUACGAGGUCAGGAGAUUGAGACCAUCCUGGCUAAUACGGUGAAACCCCAUCUCUACUAAAAAUACAAAAAAUUAGCCGGGCGUGGUGGCAGGCACCUGUAAUCCCAGCUACUCGGGAGGCUGAGGCAGGGGAAUCACUUGAACCUGGGAGGCGGAGGUUGCAGUGAGCCAAGAUCACGUCAUUGCACUCCAGCCUGGGUGACACAGCGAGACUCCAUCUCAGAAAAACAAAAACAAAAACCAAAAAACCGUACAGUCUGAUCCAAACUGUUGCUAUAUUGAUUCCUCCUCUCGCUUACUGCCUGCUGACUUCUGAGAUGAUAGUUUCCUUCCCCAUUCUCAGUAUAUCCCUAAUUCAUCCUUCAUUGAGUAUCUUUUAUCGUAAAGCUGUAUUCUCUUUGUAUUAAUAUCCUUACCGCGUUUCACAGGGCAGAAACAGCUGGGCUUAUAAACAGGCAUAGUCCUUUUGAAGGAUGUGGUUGAUCCUACAACAACACACUUUCCUAAGGAUGACAACAACUCACCCCACCCCUAGAAUGGCUGGUAUGAACCGAGUUUCCACACAGUCUAGCUGGCAAUGGGGUCAGGAGACGUUUUGCUGCUUCACAUCUUUUGGUCACUGGUAAAUAUUAAGGUACUUUGUUUUCUGUUUUGUGAACUCUCUCUCUCUCUCACGAUAUGUCUUCUGACCAUUUGUUUCUAUUUAUGCAUUUACUGGGUCUAAACAUUGUACAAAGGUUAAAAACAACACUCCAAUGGGCGUUUCCCAAGAGGGUGGGGUUCAGUUUCUGAACUCACUUGUAGGUGUGUAUUUCUUUCAUAUCCAAUUUCCCAUUUUCCUCUGCCUCUGAUAGCUGCCUCUCCUUUUCUGCAUGCUCACGUUCUUUGAUGCUUAGUUUCCUCAGACUAGAAGGGAGAGAAAUGCACACACAUGAUCCACCAGCCCGUGUGGGAUUCCCUCUGCCCUUCUGGCAUCUGAAGGCUGUGAUUCAAAGAUCCCCCCCUGCAACCUUCCCAUAAAUGAACCAACUGAUUCUCACAACUGAAGGAAGAAUGGACACCUCCCAUUGAGGGACAAAAAAAAAUCACACUCUGGCCUGCUGGCAAGUCACUUGUCAUUUCCAGCUCAUCUUCAUAGUUCCAUAGUUAGUCCUAUUCUUUAGUAAAUAUAAAGACUAUUAAAAGCUUCUAUGAGGUGCACUAUGUGUGUCUCUGGGGUCAGUCUUGUGCUUGACACAGCAAAAGCUCAUUUUAGUUCAGUGUGAAAAACCAGACCUCACCAAUUCACACAACUAACUCCAUCGGAAGCAGAGGAUUGCUCCUCAUCUGACUCCUCCUGUGUGAGACCUGAUUCUCAGUCAGAGGCUGAUGCCGGAACUGAGACCAUCAGCCAUAGAGAGAUCCUUCCAGAAUAUGGUGUCAUUAACCCCGCAGUUCACUACUGCACUUUGCCAUGAUUCAGGACUGGAACUCUUGUCAUCGACUUUAAAGAUCCUGAAAAGGCAAUCUGAAUGCUGGGCGCAUCUAUUGAAUUAGAAAUGAUUGGAAUGGCUCCUAAGUCAGGGUGUUAUGUCCUGAAAAUAGGUGACAACGGCAAACCAUCCACCCUGGUGUUGACUGACUUUAACAAGGUUCAGUUCACAGAGAUUGAGGGCAGAAAAAGGAAACGGCCUAAAAAGGGUAAGUUUGCUGUGUUGCCCUCACACCACGUGAUUCAUGGUCCUGAUCCUAAGGAUCUCACCUGAUACUUGGUUUUACAGGAAGGAUGUGUAAAACUCCCAGAACGCUACGAAACAGGGACGAAAACACUUCAAAGAGAAAGUUAAUGAACUUGUUUCUGACCACAGGGCAUCCUUCAGCACAUGCUGUCUGGAGUGGCCUCCAACAAGCAGUGUGUGGUGAGGUGCUGAGAAUGCAAUGGGAGCAGGGUCCUGUCCCCACGCUAAAGAAGCUCACAGUUUAAUGCAAAUGAGAAGCCAGUGAGGACAUCACUACUCCUGCUGUGCACUUGGGAACUAGAAACACAAAACCUGACUCUGGAGGGAAGCUAAGGAAGCAUUCUACUCUUGAGUUGACAUAAGUGCAUCUGAAGCUUCUGAUCUCCGAUGAGAACAAUGGGGGACACCAAACAGAAUAUAAAACCCAUGAUUGAAUACAUCAAAUUGCUAACAUGGCAGUAAACAGACAUGAGGUGAAGACGGAGAAGAAGGAAACCCAGGACGAAAGUCAGCCUCGCAUUUGGAACCCAUUUCCCUGAGUUUCAUUGCUGAAUUCCAGAAGGAACUACUGAGAUGCAAAGAAGCAGAGCAGCUUUUGCACACAUGCGUGGGGUUAGAUGGAAAACAAGUGGAUUGAGGGUCUGCCAAUGAAAGCGACCCAUACUGAAGUCCACUGGCUCUGGUUGAGACCCAGAAGAGUCAUGCAUCAGAAUAGAGGUGGACAGGAAAUACCCUGGCCUUUGUAGGGACUGAGCCUGCACCGACGACCUCAAUUGCAGCCUGUAUGGAGGACCCCUGACCAUCCCCCAGAAGUAGACUCCCAUCUCUUCUGCAGCAAGAUAACAUGCUACUAGGCCUCAAUUCAUUGCUAAAUAUUUUUUAACAAGUAUCUCACAUUUAACAACAAAAGAUCAGUCAUAUGGCAGCAAAAUACAAUGUAAUAUGACCAAAACAUGAAAGACUGUGAAAAUGAA
RNA transcript from Pan troglodytes (chimpanzee), 11413 nucleotides. It is a transcript of the gene named putative RRN3-like protein RRN3P2, with no coding region annotated. Lineage: Eukaryota; Metazoa; Chordata; Mammalia; Primates; Hominidae. The record is from RefSeq and is a predicted model, not a curated record. The transcript is spliced from 7 exons.